GAUGAACGCUGGCGGCGUGCCUCAAACAUGCAAGUCGAGCGGGGCUAUGUAAUAUCGCAAGGUAGAACAUAGCCUAGCGGCGAACGGGUGAGUAACACGUGGGUAACCUGCCUGGAAGACAGGGAUAACGAUUCGAAAGGGUCGCUAAUACCUGAUAAUAUCCUUUCAUCGCAUGGUGAUAGGAAGAAAGGGGAAACCCGCUUUCAGAUGGGCCCGCGUCCCAUCAGCUAGUUGGUAAGGUAAAGGCUUACCAAGGCGACGACGGGUAGCCGGUCUGAGAGGAUGUACGGCCACACUGGGACUGAGAUACGGCCCAGACUCCUACGGGAGGCAGCAGUUGGGAAUCUUAGGCAAUGGACGAAAGUCUGACCUAGCGACGCCGCGUGAGGGAAGAAGGGCCUUCGGGUUGUAAACCUCUGUCAUGGGGAAGAAGUAAGUGACGGUACCCCAAGAGGAAGCCCCUGCUAACUACGUGCCAGCAGCCGCGGUAAGGAGUAGUACA
This 502-nucleotide ribosomal RNA is filed under the name uncultured bacterium. RNAcentral describes it as "bacterial SSU rRNA". It matches the Rfam family "Bacterial small subunit ribosomal RNA", at positions 28 to 536 of the family's 1533-position model. The record is from RNAcentral.